Molecule: long non-coding RNA, 526 nt
Organism: Nilaparvata lugens (brown planthopper)
Lineage: Eukaryota; Metazoa; Arthropoda; Insecta; Hemiptera; Delphacidae
Exons: 2
Source: RefSeq, a predicted model, not a curated record
GAGGAUUGGGUGAAUUGGGUCUUUCCACUUGGCAGAAGAACUCGACACGAGAAGAUAGGAGAAAUUUGUAGGCAGAAGUUGAUAAUUUUUUUUUAUGAGGUACCUCCAAUAUUCAUAUAGUUCAGUGUUGUGAAUAACCAAAGAAGUAUACGUCGUGCUAUGAAAAAAAUGUCUUUUGGGUGCGUGAAUAUCAUCGUUCAACAAAGCAGCUAAGCCCCUGAAGAUCUCAUGCUCUACCACUAACAAAAUGAAUAAGCAGGUUGAUACUACCUCAUUGAAGAAGUCGCCGACCCACUUGGCAGUGAUAAGCGUGACCAUGAGAGGCAGGCCAAACGAUAUGUUGCCAGUGGCUUCAAUCAUGAUGACAGUGAGACUGAUGGUCAUGCGCACUACACCACCUAGAUGAGCCGCUGCUCCUACCAAUGCGUACUUGCCUGGUGUUACCCAUGCCUAUCAACAACAAACAUACUGCUAAAUUAGAAAAUUCUAUUCCAGUUAUUUAAAAAUAAAAUAUUUUUCAGAUGAA